Molecule: unclassified non-coding RNA, 253 nt
Filed under: fungal sp.
Lineage: Eukaryota; Fungi
Description: partial internal transcribed spacer region
Rfam family: Eukaryotic small subunit ribosomal RNA (bases 1-46)
Source: RNAcentral
AAGUCGUAACAAGGUAACCGUAGGUGAACCUGCGGUUGGAUCAUUAAAAGAAGGGUCGGGAUCACCAAGGUCCAAUCCAAGGAAAAAGGCCUUGGUGAUCCCGGAGGAAGGAAGCAGGGGCGGGUCGUUCUGGCUCCCCGGCCCUGCUUUUGUCCCCACGUUGUGUGUGAGUCUUUUUUACUUUUUUUUUUCUUGUCCUUUUGGACGCGAAAACCAAAGAAAACAACUUUUGGCAACGGAUCUCUUGGCUCUC